Molecule: ribosomal RNA, 437 nt
Filed under: uncultured bacterium
Lineage: Bacteria
Description: bacterial SSU rRNA
Rfam family: Bacterial small subunit ribosomal RNA
Source: RNAcentral
CGGACGGGUGAGUAACACGUGGACAAUCCUGCCCCCCGGCCCGGGAUAGCCCCAGGGGAAAACCUGGAUUAAUACCGGAUGAGACGGGACCCGCGAUGGCGGGACCCGGGAAAGGCGCUGCGGCGCCGCCGGGGGGAUGAGUCUGCGUCCCAUUAGCUAGACGCGGGGUAAGGCCCACCGUGGCGACGAUGGGUAGCCGGCCUGAGAGGGUGGACGGCCACAUUGGAACUGAGACACGGUCCAGACUCCUACGGGAGGCAGCAGCUAAGAAUCUUCCGCAAUGGGCGAAAGCCUGACGGAGCGAACCGCCGCGUGAACGAAGAAGGCCGUGAGGUUGUAAAGUUCUUUUCGGGAGGGGGAACAACCGUGGCAGGGAAUGGCCGCGGGAUGACGUGAAUCCCGGAAUAAGCCCCGGCUAACUACGUGCCAGCCGCAGC